This 251-nucleotide ribosomal RNA is filed under the name uncultured prokaryote. RNAcentral describes it as "partial 16S ribosomal RNA". It matches the Rfam family "Bacterial small subunit ribosomal RNA", at positions 524 to 774 of the family's 1533-position model. The record is from RNAcentral.
UACGGAGGAUGCAAGCGUUAUCCGGAUUCAUUGGGUUUAAAGGGUGCGCAGGUUGUUUGAUAAGUCAGUGGUGAAAGUCUGUCGCUUAACGGUAGGAUUGCCAUUGAUACUGUUAGACUUGAAUAUGGAUGAGGUAGGCGGAAUGUGUAGUGUAGCGGUGAAAUGCAUAGAUAUUACACAGAACACCGAUUGCGAAGGCAGCUUACUGGGCCAUUACUGACGCUGAUGCACGAAAGCGUGGGGAUCGAACA